RNAcentral lists this long non-coding RNA (509 nucleotides) under Vigna radiata. Its description in RNAcentral is "long non-coding RNA (VRAD_LNC002505)". Lineage: Eukaryota; Viridiplantae; Streptophyta; Magnoliopsida; Fabales; Fabaceae. The record is from RNAcentral.
GGAGGUUCGACACUUAAGAUUCAAGGUCAAGUAUAUGUAAUCUCACAAGGAUGGUUCCCUGAGCCUAAAGAUCAAUGGUUACUAGAGCUAUGGCCCCCAACAUAGCACCUCCACAACAAUCGAGUAAUCAACUAGGUGUGAAGAUACAAAUGAAGAGAACAAACUCUAGUUGGGGUUCUCACGAUAGCCAAACAGGAAGAAUAUCCCAAGUGGAACCGCUACACAACCCCUCUAUUUUUAAGCUAUACUCAGACCCGGGUAUAGGGCCCCACUCAUGAUAUGCAUAAAGUGUGUGUGUGAAGGGAGAAUGCAAUGCACCCAAACCCUCACCUGCAAAACAACCAGAAAAAUUCCCAGGCAGAUAAACAUGUUUUCUACCCUAGGGUUCAAUAUCAAGACAAUUCACACGCAAUUAUUUCAAAAAUCAAACAUAGAUAAAGAAAAGGGGAAGAAAAACACAGAAAAACCACAUCGAAUUCGCGUAUUUAAUUAAGUGGCCUGACUCUCUA